Molecule: ribosomal RNA, 513 nt
Filed under: uncultured bacterium
Lineage: Bacteria
Description: partial 16S ribosomal RNA
Rfam family: Bacterial small subunit ribosomal RNA
Source: RNAcentral
GACGAACGCUGGCGGCAUGCCUAAUACAUGCAAGUCGAGCGAACAGAUGAAGUGCUUGCACUUCUGACGUUAGCGGCGAACGGGUGAGUAACACGUAAGGAAUCUACCUAUAAGCGGGGGAUAACAUUCGGAAACGGGUGCUAAUACCGCAUAAUAUCUUCUUCCGCAUGGAAGAAGAUUGAAAGACGGCUCUGCUGUCACUUAUAGAUGACCUUGCGGUGCAUUAGUUAGUUGGUGGGGUAAUGGCCUACCAAGACGAUGAUGAAUAGCCGACCUGAGAGGGUGAUCGGCGAAAUUGGGACUGAGACACGGCCCAAACUCCUACGGGAGGCAGCAGUAGGGAAUCUUCCGCAAUGGGCGAAAGCCUGACGGAGCAAUGCCGCGUGAGUGAAGAAGGCCUUCGGGUCGUAAAACUCUGUUAUAAGAGAAGAACAAAUUGUAGAGUAACUGCUACAGUCUUGACGGUAUCUUAUCAGAAAGCCACGGCUAACUACGUGCCAGCCGCCGCGGUAA